Molecule: transfer RNA, 72 nt
Filed under: Candidatus Paceibacter sp.
Lineage: Bacteria; Bacillati; Minisyncoccota; Minisyncoccia; Minisyncoccales; Candidatus Paceibacteraceae
Description: tRNA-Arg
Rfam family: tRNA
About the family: Transfer RNA (tRNA) molecules are approximately 80 nucleotides in length. Their secondary structure includes four short double-helical elements and three loops (D, anti-codon, and T loops). Further hydrogen bonds mediate the characteristic L-shaped molecular structure. tRNAs have two regions of fundamental functional importance: the anti-codon, which is responsible for specific mRNA codon recognition, and the 3' end, to which the tRNAs corresponding amino acid is attached (by aminoacyl-tRNA synthetases). tRNAs cope with the degeneracy of the genetic code in two manners: having more than one tRNA (with a specific anti-codon) for a particular amino acid; and 'wobble' base-pairing, i.e. permitting non-standard base-pairing at the 3rd anti-codon position.
Source: RNAcentral
GCCCUCGUAGUUCAAUGGAUAGAACUGGAGACUUCUAAUCUCCCGAUCGAGGUUCGAUUCCUCGCGAGGGCA